GCAAUGCCGCGUGAGUGAUGACGGUCCUUUGGAUUGUAAAACUCUGUUGUAUGGAAAAAAUGACUAGGUUAGGAAAUGAACCUAGUGUGAUGGUACCAUACCAGAAAGCCCCGGCUAACUACGUGCCAGCAGCCGCGGUAAUACGUAGGGGGCAAGCGUUAUCCGGAUUUAUUGGGCGUAAAGCGUGUGUAGGCGGUUUGUUAAGUUUAAGAUUAAAGCCUGGGGCUCAACUCCAGUUCGUCUUAAAAGCUGGCAGACUAGAGUACGGUAGAGGCAAACGGAAUUUCUAGUGUAGCGGUGAAAUGCGUAGAUAUUAGAAGGAACACCAGUGGCGAAAGCGGUUUGCUGGGCCGUUACUGACGCUGAGGCACGAAAGCGUGGGGAGCAAAUAGGAUUAGAUACCCUAGUAGUCCACGCCGUAAACGAUGGGUACUAAGUGUUGGGGUUUCCCAGUGCUGAAGCUAACGUAUUAAGUACUCCGCCUGAGUAGUACGGUCGCAAGGCUGCAACUCAAAGGAAUUGACGGA
Molecule: ribosomal RNA, 527 nt
Filed under: uncultured Bacillota bacterium
Lineage: Bacteria; Bacillati; Bacillota
Description: bacterial SSU rRNA
Rfam family: Bacterial small subunit ribosomal RNA
Source: RNAcentral